RNAcentral lists this ribosomal RNA (431 nucleotides) under uncultured bacterium. Its description in RNAcentral is "bacterial SSU rRNA". It matches the Rfam family "Bacterial small subunit ribosomal RNA", at positions 29 to 507 of the family's 1533-position model. The record is from RNAcentral.
AACGAACGCUGGCGGCAGGCCUAACACGUGCAAGUCGAGCGCCCCGCAAGGGGAGCGGCGGACGGGUGAGUAACGCGUGGGAACGUGCCUCUUGCUACGGAAUAGUCUCGGGAAACUGGGGGUAAUACCGUAUGUGCCCUUCGGGGGAAAGAUUUAUCGGCAAAGGAUCGGCCCGCGUUGGAUUAGGUAGUUGGUGGGGUAAUGGCCUACCAAGCCGACGAUCCAUAGCUGGUUUGAGAGGAUGAUCAGCCACACUGGGACUGAGACACGGCCCAGACUCCUACGGGAGGCAGCAGUGGGGAAUCUUAGACAAUGGGCGCAAGCCUGAUCUAGCCAUGCCGCGUGAGCGAUGAAGGCCUUAGGGUUGUAAAGCUCUUUCAGUGGGGAAGAUAAUGACUGUACCCACAGAAGAAGCCCCGGCUAACUCCGUG